GAGAGUGGCGAACGGGUGAGUAAUAUAUCGGAACGUGCCCAAUCGUGGGGGAUAACGUAGAGAAAUUUACGCUAAUACCGCAUACGAUCUAAGGAUGAAAGCGGGGGACUUGUUAAAGAGCCUCGCGCGAUUGGAGCGGCUGAUAUCAGAUUAGGUUGUUGGUGAGGUAAAAGCUCACCAAGGCGACGACGGGUAGCCGGCCUGAGAGGGUGACCGGCCACACUGGGACUGAGACACGGCCCAGACUCCUACGGGAGGCAGCAGUGGGGAAUAUUGCACAAUGGGCGCAAGCCUGAUGCAGCAACGCCGCGUGAGGGACGACGGCCUUCGGGUUGUAAACCUCUUUUAGUAGGGAAGAAGCGAAAGUGACGGUACCUGCAGAAAAAGCACCGGCUAACUACGUGCCAGCAGCCGCGGUAAUACGUAGGGUGCAAGCGUUAUCCGGAAUUAUUGGGCGUAAAGAGCUCGUAGGCGG
Molecule: ribosomal RNA, 475 nt
Filed under: uncultured bacterium
Lineage: Bacteria
Description: bacterial SSU rRNA
Rfam family: Bacterial small subunit ribosomal RNA
Source: RNAcentral